This 2923-nucleotide ribosomal RNA is filed under the name Klebsiella pneumoniae. Its description in RNAcentral is "bacterial LSU rRNA". It matches the Rfam family "Bacterial large subunit ribosomal RNA". The record is from RNAcentral. Lineage: Bacteria; Pseudomonadati; Pseudomonadota; Gammaproteobacteria; Enterobacterales; Enterobacteriaceae.
GGGUUGUGAGGUUAAGCGACUAAGCGUACACGGUGGAUGCCCUGGCAGUCAGAGGCGAUGAAGGACGUGCUAAUCUGCGAAAAGCGUCGGUAAGGUGAUAUGAACCGUUAUAGCCGGCGAUGUCCGAAUGGGGAAACCCAGUGCAAUUCGUUGCACUAUCGUUAACUGAAUACAUAGGUUAACGAGGCGAACCGGGGGAACUGAAACAUCUAAGUACCCCGAGGAAAAGAAAUCAACCGAGAUUCCCCCAGUAGCGGCGAGCGAACGGGGAGCAGCCCAGAGUCUGAAUCAGCUUGUGUGUUAGUGGAACGGUCUGGAAAGUCCGACGGUACAGGGUGAUAGUCCCGUACACCAAAAUGCACAGGCUGUGAACUCGAAGAGUAGGGCGGGACACGUGGUAUCCUGUCUGAAUAUGGGGGGACCAUCCUCCAAGGCUAAAUACUCCUGACUGACCGAUAGUGAACCAGUACCGUGAGGGAAAGGCGAAAAGAACCCCGGCGAGGGGAGUGAAAAAGAACCUGAAACCGUGUACGUACAAGCAGUGGGAGCACCUUCGGGUGUGACUGCGUACCUUUUGUAUAAUGGGUCAGCGACUUAUAUUCUGUAGCAAGGUUAACCGUAUAGGGGAGCCGCAGGGAAACCGAGUCUUAACUGGGCGUUAAGUUGCAGGGUAUAGACCCGAAACCCGGUGAUCUAGCCAUGGGCAGGUUGAAGGUUGGGUAACACUAACUGGAGGACCGAACCGACUAAUGUUGAAAAAUUAGCGGAUGACUUGUGGCUGGGGGUGAAAGGCCAAUCAAACCGGGAGAUAGCUGGUUCUCCCCGAAAGCUAUUUAGGUAGCGCCUCGUGAAUUCAUCUUCGGGGGUAGAGCACUGUUUCGGCUAGGGGGUCAUCCCGACUUACCAACCCGAUGCAAACUACGAAUACCGAAGAAUGUUAUCACGGGAGACACACGGCGGGUGCUAACGUCCGUCGUGAAGAGGGAAACAACCCAGACCGCCAGCUAAGGUCCCAAAGUCAUGGUUAAGUGGGAAACGAUGUGGGAAGGCACAGACAGCCAGGAUGUUGGCUUAGAAGCAGCCAUCAUUUAAAGAAAGCGUAAUAGCUCACUGGUCGAGUCGGCCUGCGCGGAAGAUGUAACGGGGCUAAACCAUGCACCGAAGCUGCGGCAGCGACACUAUGUGUUGUUGGGUAGGGGAGCGUUCUGUAAGCCUGCGAAGGUGUGCUGUGAGGCAUGCUGGAGGUAUCAGAAGUGCGAAUGCUGACAUAAGUAACGAUAAAGCGGGUGAAAAGCCCGCUCGCCGGAAGACCAAGGGUUCCUGUCCAACGUUAAUCGGGGCAGGGUGAGUCGACCCCUAAGGCGAGGCCGAAAGGCGUAGUCGAUGGGAAACAGGUUAAUAUUCCUGUACUUGGUGUUACUGCGAAGGGGGGACGGAGAAGGCUAUGUUAGCCGGGCGACGGUUGUCCCGGUUUAAGCAUGUAGGCUGAUUGUCCAGGCAAAUCCGGAUAAUCAAGGCUGAGGUGUGAUGACGAGGCACUACGGUGCUGAAGUAACAAAUGCCCUGCUUCCAGGAAAAGCCUCUAAGCAUCAGGUAACAUUAAAUCGUACCCCAAACCGACACAGGUGGUCAGGUAGAGAAUACCAAGGCGCUUGAGAGAACUCGGGUGAAGGAACUAGGCAAAAUGGUGCCGUAACUUCGGGAGAAGGCACGCUGGUGUGUAGGUGAAGCCCCUGCGGGUGGAGCUGAGACCAGUCGAAGAUACCAGCUGGCUGCAACUGUUUAUUAAAAACACAGCACUGUGCAAACACGAAAGUGGACGUAUACGGUGUGACGCCUGCCCGGUGCCGGAAGGUUAAUUGAUGGGGUUAUCCGUAAGGAGAAGCUCUUGAUCGAAGCCCCGGUAAACGGCGGCCGUAACUAUAACGGUCCUAAGGUAGCGAAAUUCCUUGUCGGGUAAGUUCCGACCUGCACGAAUGGCGUAAUGAUGGCCAGGCUGUCUCCACCCGAGACUCAGUGAAAUUGAACUCGCUGUGAAGAUGCAGUGUACCCGCGGCAAGACGGAAAGACCCCGUGAACCUUUACUAUAGCUUGACACUGAACAUUGAGCCUUGAUGUGUAGGAUAGGUGGGAGGCUUUGAAGCGUGGACGCCAGUCUGCGUGGAGCCAACCUUGAAAUACCACCCUUUAAUGUUUGAUGUUCUAACGUUGGCCCCUUACCGGGGUUGCGGACAGUGUCUGGUGGGUAGUUUGACUGGGGCGGUCUCCUCCCAAAGCGUAACGGAGGAGCACGAAGGUUAGCUAAUCCUGGUCGGACAUCAGGAGGUUAGUGCAAUGGCAUAAGCUAGCUUGACUGCGAGCGUGACGGCGCGAGCAGGUGCGAAAGCAGGUCAUAGUGAUCCGGUGGUUCUGAAUGGAAGGGCCAUCGCUCAACGGAUAAAAGGUACUCCGGGGAUAACAGGCUGAUACCGCCCAAGAGUUCAUAUCGACGGCGGUGUUUGGCACCUCGAUGUCGGCUCAUCACAUCCUGGGGCUGAAGUAGGUCCCAAGGGUAUGGCUGUUCGCCAUUUAAAGUGGUACGCGAGCUGGGUUUAGAACGUCGUGAGACAGUUCGGUCCCUAUCUGCCGUGGGCGCUGGAGAAUUGAGGGGGGCUGCUCCUAGUACGAGAGGACCGGAGUGGACGCAUCACUGGUGUUCGGGUUGUCAUGCCAAUGGCACUGCCCGGUAGCUAAAUGCGGAAGAGAUAAGUGCUGAAAGCAUCUAAGCACGAAACUUGCCCCGAGAUGAGUUCUCCCUGAGACUUUAAGUCUCCUGAAGGAACGUUAAAGACGAUGACGUUGAUAGGCCGGGUGUGUAAGCGCAGCGAUGCGUUGAGCUAACCGGUACUAAUGAACCGUGAGGCUUAACCUUACAACGCCGAAG